This 578-nucleotide ribosomal RNA is filed under the name Tausonia pullulans. RNAcentral describes it as "eukaryotic LSU rRNA". It matches the Rfam family "Eukaryotic large subunit ribosomal RNA", at positions 93 to 656 of the family's 3401-position model. The record is from RNAcentral. Lineage: Eukaryota; Fungi; Basidiomycota; Tremellomycetes; Cystofilobasidiales; Mrakiaceae.
UUGAAGCGGGAUGAGCUCAAUUUAAAAUCUGGCGGUCUCAGAUCGUCCGAGUUGUAGUCUAGAGAAGCGUUUUCCGUGCUGGCCUGUGUACAAGUCCGUUGGAACACGGCGUCAUAGAGGGUGAGAAUCCCGUCCUUGACACAGAUCUCCAGUGCUUUGUGAUGCGCUCUCAAAGAGUCGAGUUGUUUGGGAAUGCAGCUCAAAAUGGGUGGUAAAUUCCAUCUAAAGCUAAAUAUUGGCGAGAAACCGAUAGCGAACAAGUACCGUGAGGGAAAGAUGAAAAGCACUUUGGAAAGAGAGUUAAACAGUACGUGAAAUUGUUGAAAGGGAAACGAUUGAAGUCAGUCAUGCUUUCCGAGACUCAGCCGGUUCUGCCGGUGUACUUCUCGGUUUGCAGGCCAGCAUCAGUUUUGGGCGGUGGAAAAGGUUGGCGGGAAUGUGGCAUCCUCGGAUGUGUUAUAGCCCGCUUUCGAAUACAUCGCCCGGGACUGAGGAACGCAGCACGCCUCUUGUAGGUCGGUCUUCGGACACGUCCGUGCUUAGGAUGCUGGCAUAAUGGCUUUAAACGACCCGUCUUG